AAAUUGAAGAGUUUGAUCAUGGCUCAGAUUGAACGCUGGCGGCAGGCCUAACACAUGCAAGUCGAACGGUAACAGGAAGCAGCUUGCUGCUUUGCUGACGAGUGGCGGACGGGUGAGUAAUGUCUGGGAAACUGCCUGAUGGAGGGGGAUAACUACUGGAAACGGUGGCUAAUACCGCAUAACGUCGCAAGACCAAAGAGGGGGACCUUCGGGCCUCUUGCCAUCAGAUGUGCCCAGAUGGGAUUAGCUUGUUGGUGAGGUAACGGCUCACCAAGGCGACGAUCCCUAGCUGGUCUGAGAGGAUGACCAGCCACACUGGAACUGAGACACGGUCCAGACUCCUACGGGAGGCAGCAGUGGGGAAUAUUGCACAAUGGGCGCAAGCCUGAUGCAGCCAUGCCGCGUGUAUGAAGAAGGCCUUCGGGUUGUAAAGUACUUUCAGCGGGGAGGAAGGUGUUGUG
Molecule: ribosomal RNA, 461 nt
Filed under: Salmonella enterica subsp. enterica serovar Derby
Lineage: Bacteria; Pseudomonadati; Pseudomonadota; Gammaproteobacteria; Enterobacterales; Enterobacteriaceae
Also listed under: 10 other names
Description: partial 16S ribosomal RNA
Rfam family: Bacterial small subunit ribosomal RNA
Source: RNAcentral